RNAcentral lists this ribosomal RNA (274 nucleotides) under uncultured bacterium. Its description in RNAcentral is "partial 16S ribosomal RNA". It matches the Rfam family "Bacterial small subunit ribosomal RNA", at positions 523 to 796 of the family's 1533-position model. The record is from RNAcentral.
AUACGGAGGGUGCGAGCGUUAAUCGGAAUUACUGGGCGUAAAGCGCGCGUAGGCGGCUUUGUAAGUCGGAUGUGAAAGCCCUGGGCUCAACCUGGGAAUGGCAUUCGAUACUGCAUAACUAGAGUAUGGUAGAGGGAAAUGGAAUUUCCGGUGUAGCGGUGAAAUGCGUAGAUAUCGGAAGGAACACCAGUGGCGAAGGCGACUUCCUGGGCCAAUACUGACGCCGAGGUGCGAAAGCGUGGGGAGCAAACAGGAUUAGAAGCCCGGGUAGUCC